This 466-nucleotide ribosomal RNA is filed under the name uncultured bacterium. RNAcentral's name for it is "partial 16S ribosomal RNA". It matches the Rfam family "Bacterial small subunit ribosomal RNA", at positions 28 to 507 of the family's 1533-position model. The record is from RNAcentral.
GAUGAACGCUGGCGGCGUGCUUAACACAUGCAAGUCGAACGAUGAAGCUCAGCUUGCUGGGUGGAUUAGUGGCGAACGGGUGAGUAACACGUGAGUAACCUGCCCUUAACUCUGGGAUAAGCCUGGGAAACUAGGUCUAAUACCGGAUAGGAGCGCCUACCGCAUGGUGGGUGUUGGAAAGAUUUAUCGGUUUUGGAUGGACUCGCGGCCUUUCAGCUUGUUGGUGAGGUAAUGGCUCACCAAGGCGACGACGGGUAGCCGGCCUGAGAGGGUGACCGGCCACACUGGGACUGAGACACGGCCCAGACUCCUACGGGAGGCAGCAGUGGGGAAUAUUGCACAAUGGGCGAAAGCCUGAUGCAGCGACGCCGCGUGAGGGAUGACGGCCUUCGGGUUGUAAACCUCUUUCAGUAGGGAAGAAGCGAAAGUGACGGUACCUGCAGAAGAAGCACCGGCUAACUACGUG